GAUGAACGCUGGCGGCGUGCCUAAUACAUGCAAGUCGAGCGGACGGACGAUAAGCUUGCUUUUCUGAUGUUAGCGGCGGACGGGUGAGUAACACGUGGAUAACCUACCUAUAAGACUGGGAUAACUUCGGGAAACCGGAGCUAAUACCGGAUAAUAUUUUGAACCGCAGUGUUCAAAAGUAAAAUACGGUCUUUCUGGCACUUAUAGAUGGAUCCGCGCUGCAUUGUCUAGUUGGUAAGGUAACGGCUUACCAAGGCAACGAUGCAUAGCCGACCUGAGAGGGUGAUAGGCCACACUGGAACUGGGACACGGUCCAGAGUCCUACGGGAGGCAGCAGUAGGGAAUCUUACGCAAUGGGCGAAAGCCUGACGGAGCAACGCCGCGUGAGUGACGAAGGUCUUCGGAUCGUAAAACUGUGUUAUUAGGGAAGAACAUAUGUGUAAGUAACUGUGCACAUCUUGACGGUACCUAAUCAGAAAGCCCCGGCUAACUACGUG
Molecule: ribosomal RNA, 497 nt
Filed under: uncultured bacterium
Lineage: Bacteria
Description: partial 16S ribosomal RNA
Rfam family: Bacterial small subunit ribosomal RNA
Source: RNAcentral